This 496-nucleotide ribosomal RNA is filed under the name uncultured bacterium. RNAcentral's name for it is "partial 16S ribosomal RNA". It matches the Rfam family "Bacterial small subunit ribosomal RNA", at positions 28 to 506 of the family's 1533-position model. The record is from RNAcentral.
GAUGAACGCUGGCGGCGUGCCUAAUACAUGCAAGUCGAGCGAACAGACGAGGAGCUUGCUCCUUUGACGUUAGCGGCGGACGGGUGAGUAACACGUGGGUAACCUACCUAUAAGACUGGGAUAACUUCGGGAAACCGGAGCUAAUACCGGAUAAUAUUUCGAACCGCAUGGUUCGAUAGUGAAAGGUGGCUUUGCUAUCACUUAUAGAUGGACCUGCGCCGUAUUAGCUAGUUGGUAAGGUAACGGCUUACCAAGGCAACGAUACGUAGCCGACCUGAGAGGGUGAUCGGCCACACUGGAACUGAGACACGGUCCAGACUCCUACGGGAGGCAGCAGUAGGGAAUCUUCCGCAAUGGGCGAAAGCCUGACGGAGCAACGCCGCGUGAGUGAUGAAGGUCUUCGGAUCGUAAAACUCUGUUAUUAGGGAAGAACAAACGUGUAAGUAACUGUGCACGUCUUGACGGUACCUAAUCAGAAAGCCGCGGCUAACUACGU